This 253-nucleotide ribosomal RNA is filed under the name uncultured bacterium. RNAcentral's name for it is "partial 16S ribosomal RNA". It matches the Rfam family "Bacterial small subunit ribosomal RNA", at positions 524 to 776 of the family's 1533-position model. The record is from RNAcentral.
GACGAACCGUCCAAACGUUAUUCGGAAUUACUGGGCUUAAAGGGUGCGUAGGCGGCGCGGAAAGUUGGGUGUGAAAUCCCUCGGCUCAACCGAGGAACUGCGCCCAAAACUACCGUGCUCGAGGGAGAUAGAGGUGAGCGGAACUUAGGGUGGAGCGGUGAAAUGCGUUGAUAUCCUAAGGAACACCCGUGGCGAAAGCGGCUCACUGGGUCUCUUCUGACGCUGAGGCACGAAAGCUAGGGUAGCAAACGGG